ACAGCAGUCGCCGCGGUAAUGCGAAGGGUGCAAGCGUUAAUCGGAAUUACUGGGCGUAAAGCGUGCGUAGGCGGUUUGUUAAGUCUGUUGUGAAAUCCCCGGGCUCAACCUGGGAAUGGCAAUGGAUACUGGCAAGCUAGAGUGUGUCAGAGGAUGGUGGAAUUCCCGGUGUAGCGGUGAAAUGCGUAGAGAUCGGGAGGAACAUCAGUGGCGAAGGCGGCCAUCUGGGACAACACUGACGCUGAGGCACGAAAGCGUGGGGAGCAAACAGGAUUAGAUACCCCAGUAGUCCCUGUCUCUUAUAC
RNAcentral lists this ribosomal RNA (305 nucleotides) under uncultured bacterium. RNAcentral's name for it is "partial 16S ribosomal RNA". It matches the Rfam family "Bacterial small subunit ribosomal RNA", at positions 508 to 807 of the family's 1533-position model. The record is from RNAcentral.